This 669-nucleotide long non-coding RNA is filed under the name Oreochromis niloticus (Nile tilapia). RNAcentral's name for it is "lncRNA (ENSONIG00000041704.1)". Lineage: Eukaryota; Metazoa; Chordata; Actinopteri; Cichliformes; Cichlidae. The record is from RNAcentral.
GUGUAAUAGUGAAGGAAGCACAGAGAGGUGAUAGAAAAAAAAAGUCAGAGAAAAACUGAUCUUAUCUGGUUUAAGUGCAGCUUCUAUUUCUACAUUUAUUACCCAUACAAAACACUUUGUGAUCAUCUGCAUCACAUCAGAGUGGAUCAGAGUGCAGUGAGGAUGGGGCACACUUUGCUCUGCAUGACGGGGUUUUUCUAAAGUUGUAGAAGUUUUCAGACGUGUCACUGCUGGAUGUGAGGAUGGGAGCCACUUUGCUCUGUGAGCUGGGCCUAUUCUAUGCUGUGCUAACUAUUGAACCCAACUGGUCCAGUUUUUUCAUUGGAGAGUUUGUUACCUUCAAAUGUGACAUGAAAGAAGGAGAAGACACUGACUGGUAUUACAAUAUCAACAGGGAUGGUCAGGGAUUUCUCCCCUACGACACAGAAAAAGACAAGAAAUUUAAACUGUUUUCUACAGAUUACAGUGGUGAAUAUCAGUGCUCUGGUCGCAGGAAGAGAUCACAUGAUACAAAGAUCAGUAAUACUGUCUCUAUAACUGUACUAGGUAAGUCCUCAAUGACCAAUAAUGUGAUGAUUCCUGUUGAAAAUCAUCUGAAUUAUAAAAUUCUGAAUACAUUUAAUUAAUGUUGUCACUGAAACUUGAAACUUUAAGGACUACUGUAUUUUA